This 2157-nucleotide long non-coding RNA is filed under the name Lupinus angustifolius (narrow-leaved blue lupine). RNAcentral describes it as "long non-coding RNA (LANG_LNC002503)". Lineage: Eukaryota; Viridiplantae; Streptophyta; Magnoliopsida; Fabales; Fabaceae. The record is from RNAcentral.
ACAGCGUAAGGGUGCGGGUUCCGUUUUCAAGUCCCACACCCACCACCGCAAGGGUCCAGCACGGUUCCGCAGUCUCGACUUCGGUGAGAGAAACGGUUACCUGAAAGGUGUCGUCACCGACAUCAUCCAUGACCCUGGUCGCGGUGCUCCUCUGGCUAAGGUAACAUUCCGCCACCCCUUCCGUUACAAGAAGCAACAGGAACUGUUCGUCGCAGCGGAGGGUCUUUACACUGGUCAAUUCCUGUAUUGUGGAAAGAAAGCAACACUUGUUGUUGGUAAUGUUUUGCCACUCAGAUCUAUUCCUGAAGGUGCUGUUAUUUGCAACGUUGAACAUCAUGUUGGGGAUCGCGGUGUUUUUGCUAGGUGUUCUGGUGAUUAUGCUAUUGUUAUCAGUCAUAACCCUGAUAAUGAUACCUCUAGGUAUCUAUUUACUUUCGAUUUCAAAUCUCAUUUUCAAUUAUUCACGUUUUCUGAGUAUUGAUUAGUUUUCAAUCUGAAAAUUUUGAUAUAUUGCAUGUUUUUAUUGGUUUUAGAGAAAUUCUUGUAUAAUAUAAGCUAAAUAAGUUGUUUAUAAGUAUUAAUUAUCAUAGCUUAAUUGUUGAAGUGUUAUAAAUUUUAAUUUUUAUUAUUGUUUUUUGAUUUGAUAAUUUAUUGCCUAUAUAUUUAAUUCUCGUAUUUUUUUUAUUUCCCUGAUGUUGAUUUUUUUAGUGUCCUUGGUUCACAUUGUUGCUUACAAUCUGAACUAUAAAAUAUGGAUUGUUUGCCAUGGAUUUUGGGUUUUAGAUAUACUUUGCAUCACUCUUGUUUAACACUUACGUUCUCUAGAGGGAGUUUAUGAUUUCUAUUGAAACAAGGUGGCUGUCAAAUCUAAUUUAACUAUACUUCAGUGAAUGUGUUUAUGUGAACUUAAGUUCCUCUUUUAAACUAAUGACAAUUCUAAACUAAUGACUUAACUGCUUAUGGAACUUUUGUUGUGGUUACUUGUCCAUGUGGUUUUGGAAACUAUGUUGGUUUUGAUGAUAUGUGUGCACCUUUUUUACAGGAUCAAGCUUCCAUCUGGUUCAAAGAAAAUUGUUCCAAGUGCUUGCAGGGCCAUGAUUGGUCAAGUUGCAGGUGGAGGGAGAACUGAGAAGCCACUUCUUAAGGCUGGUAAUGCUUACCACAAGGAAAAACAUGCCAACACGAGUUACUGUAAUGGAGAGUGAAGUAAUUCAAUAAAAUAAAGGAAAAUACAACAUUGAAUGAUACAUUUAUUCAUUUGAUUAAUAUUGAAUGACACAUUUAUUUAUUUGAUUAUAAUAUUAUUAUCUUUUUGUUAUUAAAAAUAAAUAGAGAAAGAUAUAAUUGUCUCUUUAUGAAUGAAAAUGAUCCUUAUUUCACCAAAGAUGAUAAUGAGAAAGUUAACAAAAGAAAAGAAUGGUUGCACACAUUUUCAUGCACAUCCACAUGUAGGUGGCAGAACCUCGUUUACAAGUUUCCAUAAAACUAAAAAAAAUCCAUCUAAUCAUGCAAACUAACGGUCUCCUUGGGAGUCGCUUAACUAAGAUGCAAUCACCAUAGUUAGGUAAUCUUAAAUUAGAAAGUAGAAAAAAUAAUAUAUUUUUCUAUUAAAUUAUUUAUAGACCCUCCUAAGUAAUAUAUGUUAUUAUAACAUGAUAAUUUAUUUACUAUUAAUUAGUUUACAAGUAACAUGUGUCAUUUUCUUGUAAGUACGAAGAUUGACGUACCACACAAACCAGCAAGUAAUAAUCUUUUGUUUUUUAUUGUGUACCGUAAUCUUCAGGCCCAAAUCCAAUUCAACUAUUUUUUCAUGCAAUCUCGGUCCAACAACACUUGGGCCUAUCAGGUCAAUAACAAAACGAUGUCGUUAAUCAUAUAUAAUAUAACCUAAUCCGAAACCCUAAUCGAGUGAAUCGCAACACUUGUUCAUCUUCACGAUGGGACGAGUAAUCAGAGCACAGCGUAAGGGUGCGGGUUCCGUUUUCAAGUCCCACACCCACCACCGCAAGGGUCCAGCACGGUUCCGCAGUCUCGACUUCGGUGAGAGAAACGGUUACCUGAAAGGUGUCGUCACCGACAUCAUCCAUGACCCUGGUCGCGGUGCUCCUCUGGCUAAGGUAACAUUCCGCCACCCCUUCCGUUACAAGAAGCAACAGG